CCUCUUGACUAAGCAUUGACUCCCUACCAAAGAUCCAUUCAGUGAUGUUUCUUUGGCCACUUUGGCAAAUCCUAUGAUGUUGGCUUUUAUCAUAGCAUCUAUCCUUCCAUGGCCAUCCAACAAAACAUCAUCCUGGUCUUCUUGCUUCAAAUCUUCGUUCUUUGAGUUUGACAAUUGCAAGGGACCAUUCACACUUACUAAAUCCUUUAAUUCAUCUGGAAGUAGCUGUGACUUCUCCAUCUCAAAGCUAUUUACAUCAGAAUCAAGCAAAGAUACAAAACCCUUGCUUGAAGUUUGAGAACUGGUACCCUUCCUAGAAGCAUGUAAACCUAAAGUGUUAAUACCGAACAAAAGUGACAGAUGAGAUAGGCUCAGCCAUAUGAACCUCCUCAAGAGUUCAUAAAGCCUGGAGCUAGCAACUACGCUUCUGAUGUCGAAGCAGAGCAUCCAUACUUGUUUCACCGGAUUGAUUAGGCAAAGCUUCCAUGUCUUGCAUCGAUGAAGCGGACUGAAGCCUUC
This 519-nucleotide unclassified non-coding RNA is filed under the name Hevea brasiliensis (rubber tree). The record is from RNAcentral. Lineage: Eukaryota; Viridiplantae; Streptophyta; Magnoliopsida; Malpighiales; Euphorbiaceae.